This 233-nucleotide long non-coding RNA is filed under the name Elaeis guineensis (African oil palm). RNAcentral's name for it is "long non-coding RNA (EGUI_LNC032839)". The record is from RNAcentral. Lineage: Eukaryota; Viridiplantae; Streptophyta; Magnoliopsida; Arecales; Arecaceae.
ACUUCGGAUCCGGAAGUGGGGGACAAAUAUUAUACAAAAAGUCUGCCACCCGACUUGACCUUCCCUUUAUCAUGUUAUGAUCGAACACUAGCCUUGAAUUCCUCACCAAUGAUUGAAAAGAAGGAUAAAGGACUCCCUUGGACAUCAGGAAGAAAAAAUCAGGAAAUCAAAUUGAAACGACUUUAUGACAUUAGCUUCUUUCGGACCUCUAGAUCGAAAGAAUACCAACCCCA